UACGUAGGGGCAAGCGUUAUCCGGAUUUACUGGGUGUAAAGGGAGCGUAGACGGCAGCGCAAGUCUGGAGUGAAAUGCCGGGGCUCAACCCCGGAACUGCUUUGGAAACUGUGCAGCUAGAGUGCGGGAGAGGUAAGCGGAAUUCCUAGUGUAGCGGUGAAAUGCGUAGAUAUUAGGAGGAACACCAGUGGCGAAGGCGGCUUACUGGACCGUAACUGACGUUGAGGCUCGAAAGCGUGGGGAGCAAACAGG
RNAcentral lists this ribosomal RNA (252 nucleotides) under uncultured bacterium. RNAcentral's name for it is "partial 16S ribosomal RNA". It matches the Rfam family "Bacterial small subunit ribosomal RNA", at positions 524 to 776 of the family's 1533-position model. The record is from RNAcentral.